RNAcentral lists this non-coding RNA (789 nucleotides) under Brachypterolus vestitus. The record is from RNAcentral. Lineage: Eukaryota; Metazoa; Arthropoda; Insecta; Coleoptera; Kateretidae.
UUAAAGUUUUAAUCUAGCUUGACAAUUAGGUUUUAUUUUUAUUUAUAUGAAAGAUUUAACACGAAUUGGUGUAUAUUUAGAUAGUAUCCAUUUAUAACAAAAAUUUAAGUCUCAGUAAAUAGUUUUAAAUUUUAAUUAAUUUUAGAUUUAGAAAUAUUAAUUAAAUAUUAACAAAAUUUGUGCCAGCAGUUGCGGUUACACAAAUAAUAUAACUUAAUUUUUUUAGAAGUAAUUAAUUUUAAUAUUUAUUAAAUUUAUAUUUUGGAUUAUUAGGUGAAAUUUUAAUUUAAAAGGAAGUUUUGUAAUAAUUAGUAAGGUUAAGAGAUUUAUUACUAAACUAGGAUUAGAUACCCUAUUAUUAUAAAUGUAAAAUUUUAUUCUAGGCCAUUAAUAGUUAAGUUCUUUAAAAUUAAAGAUUUUGGCGGUAUUUUAGUCUAUUCAGAGGAACCUGUCCUAUAAUUGAUAAUCCACGUUUUAUAAAACUUACAUUUUUAGUUUAUAUAUCGUCGUAAGUUGAAUAUUUUACAAGAAUUCAAAUAUUCAAAAUUUAAAAUUACAAAGUAAAUCAGAUCAAGAUGUAGUUUAUAUGUGAGAAGAGAUGGGUUACAUUAAAUUUAUUUAUGGAUAAAUUUUUUAAAGGAUUUUUUGAAAUUGGAUUUGAUAGUAAUUAUAUAUAAAUUUUUAUAAUGAUUUUAGCUCUAAAAUAUGUACAUAUCGCCCGUCGCUUUCGUUACAAAAUGAAAUAAGUCGUAACAGAGUAGGUGUACUGGAAAGUGUACCUAGAAUGAC